AAAAAGAUAAGCUAAUUAAGCUAGCGGGCUCAUACCCCGCCAAUGGGAAUUACAAACUCCCUCUUUUUG
This 69-nucleotide transfer RNA is filed under the name Gebiacantha plantae. RNAcentral describes it as "tRNA-Met". The record is from RNAcentral. Lineage: Eukaryota; Metazoa; Arthropoda; Malacostraca; Decapoda; Upogebiidae.